RNAcentral lists this ribosomal RNA (448 nucleotides) under uncultured bacterium. RNAcentral's name for it is "bacterial SSU rRNA". It matches the Rfam family "Bacterial small subunit ribosomal RNA", at positions 330 to 795 of the family's 1533-position model. The record is from RNAcentral.
ACCAGACUCCUACGGGAGGCAGCAGUGGGGAAUAUUGCACAAUGGGGGAAACCCUGAUGCAGCGACGCCGCGUGAAGGAUGAAGUAUUUCGGUAUGUAAACUUCUAUCAGCAGGGAAGAAAAUGACGGUACCUGACUAAGAAGCCCCGGCUAACUACGUGCCAGCAGCCGCGGUAAUACGUAGGGGGCAAGCGUUAUCCGGAUUUACUGGGUGUAAAGGGAGCGUAGACGGCAUGGCAAGUCUGAUGUGAAAACCCGGGGCUCAACCCCGGGACUGCAUUGGAAACUGUCAGGCUAGAGUGUCGGAGAGGCAAGUGGAAUUCCUAGUGUAGCGGUGAAAUGCGUAGAUAUUAGGAGGAACACCAGUGGCGAAGGCGGCCUGCUGGACGAUGACUGACGUUGAGGCUCGAAAGCGUGGGGAGCAAACAGGAUUAGAUACCCCCGUAACU